GACGAACGCUGGCGGCGUGCUUAACACAUGCAAGUCGAACGGAAAGGCCCUGCUUUUGUGGGGUGCUCGAGUGGCGAACGGGUGAGUAACACGUGAGUAACCUGCCCUUGACUUUGGGAUAACUUCAGGAAACUGGGGCUAAUACCGGAUAGGAACUCCUGCUGCAUGGUGGGGGUUGGAAAGUUUCGGCGGUUGGGGAUGGACUCGCGGCUUAUCAGCUUGUUGGUGGGGUAGUGGCUUACCAAGGCUUUGACGGGUAGCCGGCCUGAGAGGGUGACCGGCCACAUUGGGACUGAGAUACGGCCCAGACUCCUACGGGAGGCAGCAGUGGGGAAUAUUGCACAAUGGGCGGAAGCCUGAUGCAGCAACGCCGCGUGCGGGAUGACGGCCUCCGGGUUGUAAACCGCUUUCGCCUGUGACGAAGCGUGAGUGACGGUAAUGGGUAAAGAAGCACCGGCUAACUACGUG
RNAcentral lists this ribosomal RNA (468 nucleotides) under uncultured bacterium. Its description in RNAcentral is "partial 16S ribosomal RNA". It matches the Rfam family "Bacterial small subunit ribosomal RNA", at positions 28 to 507 of the family's 1533-position model. The record is from RNAcentral.